RNAcentral lists this long non-coding RNA (419 nucleotides) under Olea europaea (common olive). RNAcentral's name for it is "long non-coding RNA (OEUR_LNC006179)". Lineage: Eukaryota; Viridiplantae; Streptophyta; Magnoliopsida; Lamiales; Oleaceae. The record is from RNAcentral.
ACGAUUAAUUUUUCCAUAAUAACUUAAUCAAUUGUGAGUCAUAGUCACAUUUUUUAGAUCACAUGUUACAAAUUAACCAAUUAUUAGUCAUAAUCAACUAAAUAAUUGGUCACGAGCAUCCAAACCUAUCUCAUCUCACUCAAGACAUCGUCUCGACCACCAUAACCACCAUUACCAUCCCGCUACCUAAAAAAUAUGGAAGCUGCCACCACCACUACGUCAACAACCAAAACCAAUGUCUCACUGCCAUCAACCAGCUAUACCACCAUCGCACUACUGCCACAAACACCUCCACCGCACCACUGUCAACGCAACAGAAAAUUUGAAACAAAAAUAUGAACUACACACCACUAUCACCAUUGCCGCACUACUACCACCACCAUUGCACCAUACACCACCACCAUAGCAACCAUAGCCAC